UCCUGACCUCAAGUGAUCCACCUGCCUCGGCCUCCCAAAGUGCUGGGAUUACAGGCGUUAGCCACUGCACCCUUCCCCAUCUGAGUUUAUUAAAACUCAUGUAAUCACGUAUAUCUGCACCAGGGCAAGACUAAAGUGAGGUCAGCGAGAAGCCUAGUCCUGGCCCUGAUACACACCAUAGAUUAGAACAAGUUGGUAAUUAGAAUGGGGUCCAUACCAAUGAAGAGGAGUGGUCACCCCUGGUUUGGGUCGACCAGUGAACUGCUAUUGGCCUGAAGUUAAUGAGACUCUACAGCAGUUGUCAGCCUUAACUGCACAAUGAAGUCAUCUGAAGGAGCUUUAAAAAAUAUUCUUUCCUGGGCCCCACCUCUAGAGAUUCUGAUUUGUUUCAGGUGUUGCCUGGGUAUGCCCUACAUUGGAGGGUUUUAACUUAUCCCAGGUGAUUCUAAUUAAUGUGCAGCCAAAGUUGAGAACCAUUGCUCUUCAUACUGCCUUAUACAACCUGGACAACUAUAAAGGGAUUGGUAAGGUUCUCAGGGAGAACAGGUGUGUGGUUUUACCAGAGUUGGAAGAGACUUUUUUAUUAUCAUUUGAGACUCAGAGAGAUUCUAGCAAUAGGAGGAGCCAGAAAGUUCUUUUAUUUUUUUAAUUUUAAAAUUUAAAAAUAGAGACAGAGUCUCACUAUGUUGCUCAGGCUGGUCUUGAACUCCUGGGCUCAAGCAAUCCUCCUGCCUCACCCUCCCAAAGUGCUAGGAUUACAGGUGUGAGCCACCAUGCCUGGCCUAGAAAGUUCUCAUACCAUGGAGACUAGACCUUUUUUCUCAAGGGCAAGGGACAAUAUAUUUAAAAUACUUGGGCAUAGGAGCAACCCCACAGGCCCAAACCCGGAGCUCUCAAAGGGAUGGGAUGAAUUACUGUUGUCAGUUGUAAGUAUUAGAGACAGCUGCUCAGCCUUUUGAAGAAAUGGCAAGGAACAGAAAACUGAAAGUAUCCUCAAGGAGUCAGAUUCUAACCCAAAAGAAAAGUUUCUGGACAUUGGUUGAAAUAUACAUGACACUGCAGGAGGGGAAGGUAUCACAAAGUGAAAAAUUCAGUGGUUUGUGAAAGGUCUGGCUAGACACAGUGGUUAUCCCAUUAGGAGGCAAAGCCAGGUUCUUAUAGGUACACAUGGUCUCUCUUGAGUAGGAGGUCACUUCCAGAUCUGUCACCACAGAAGAGGUGUCCCAAAGGGAAAAGAAAUAAAGCGAGAGAGGAUUGGGUAGGCAGUACUCAUUCUAGCUUGCCUGGGACUUCCAAGUUGGUUUUAUUUAUUUAUUUAUUUAUUUUUUGAGACAGGGUCUCCCUGUGUCACUUAGGCUGGAGUGCAGUGGCGAGAUCUUGGCUCACUGCAACCUUUGCCUCCCAGAUUCAAGCGAUUCUCAUGCCUCAGCCUCCAAGUAGCUGGGACUACAGGCAUGUGCCACCACACCUGGCUAACUAUUUUUUUAUUUUUAGUAGAGACAGUGAUAUGGUUUGGCUGUCUCCCCACCCAGAUCUCAUCUUGAAUUCCCACAUGUUGUGGGAGGGACCUUGUGGGAGGUAAUUGAAUCAUGGGGGCAGGUCUUUCCCGUGUUGUUCUCGUGAUAGUGAAUAAGUCUCAUGAGAUCUGAUGGUUUUAAAAAGGGGAGUUUCCCUGCACUUGCUCUCUCUUGUCUGUUGUCAUGUGAGAUAUGCCUUUCACCUUCCACCAUGAUUGUGAGGCUUCCCCAGCCACGUGGAACUGUAAGUCCAUUAAAACUCUCUCUUUUGUAAAUUGCCCAGUCUCAGGCAUGUCUUUAUCAGCAGCGUGAAAACAGACUAAUACAGAUGGGGUUUCACCAUGUUGGCCAGGCUGGUCUUGAACCCCUGACCUCAAGUUCUCUGCCUGCCUCAGCCUCCCAAAGUGCUGUGAUUACAGGCGUGAGCCACUGCACCCGAUGAGACUUCCAAGUUUUCAUACUGGAAGUCCUGUAUCCCAAGAAACCCUUUGGUCCCAAGAAAGAAACCCUAUGUCCCAAGAAGGUCCCAGACAACCCACAUAGCUGAUCAAGCUACUAUGCAGGGAAGGGGGUCAUAUAAUUCAGACCUGGACUUGGAGAAGAAUGAAUGUCUACAUGUAUCCUCCUUUAGAGGACAAGUCCUGUAUUAGGGUGAGAAGCAGAACCAAAACUGAGACUCUCGUGCAAGUGGUUUAUUGAUGGAGUGCUCUUAG
RNAcentral lists this long non-coding RNA (2230 nucleotides) under Homo sapiens (human). RNAcentral's name for it is "HSALNT0178664". The record is from RNAcentral. Lineage: Eukaryota; Metazoa; Chordata; Mammalia; Primates; Hominidae.